RNAcentral lists this ribosomal RNA (245 nucleotides) under uncultured bacterium. RNAcentral's name for it is "partial small subunit ribosomal RNA". It matches the Rfam family "Bacterial small subunit ribosomal RNA", at positions 26 to 285 of the family's 1533-position model. The record is from RNAcentral.
AGAAUCAACGCUGGCGGCGUGCCUAACACAUGCAAGUCGAACGAGAAAGUGGAGCAAUCCAUGAGUAAAGUGGCGCACGGGUGAGUAACACGUGACUAACUUACCCUUGAGUGGGGGAUAACCUAGAGAAAUCUGGGCUAAUACCGCAUAAUACCUUCGGGUCAAAGGAGCAAUUCGCUUAAGGAGGGGGUCGCGGCCGAUUAGUUAGUUGGCGGGGUAAUGGCCCACCAAGACUGUGAUCGGUA